CAUGAUUCUCCGAUCACCGGGAUCAUAAAUUUUCAGUCAAUAAGCAAAGAGAACAGUCGAAAAAAUAUCAAAAGCAGUCACCAUAAUCGAAAUUGUCACCGGAGAAGCUAGAACAAGAGAAAUGGAGAAAUGGAAGAAAGAGAAAUAAAGUGUGGAGAAGUUUUCUCGCUGGUGCAUAUAUAUAGGGGCUUGAGCAUUUAUUGCAUACAGAAACCGAAGCGGAUGCAUCGGUAACUGAAGAAUUAAUUACUUUGAUUAAGGCAGGUCAGAUAAAGAGGAAAAUUCUAGAAUGGGAGAGAUCGGAAAGCAAUGAGAGACCCAAUAUGAGAAAGAUCGGAAAAGAAGAGGGUCAUAACAGAGAGAUCGGAAGGAAGAGAGAUCGGAAAGCACGAAGAAGAUGAGAUGGCUUCCAAUAACUCUCUACAUAAUCAGAGCCGAGGUAGUUAA
Molecule: unclassified non-coding RNA, 447 nt
Filed under: Hevea brasiliensis (rubber tree)
Lineage: Eukaryota; Viridiplantae; Streptophyta; Magnoliopsida; Malpighiales; Euphorbiaceae
Source: RNAcentral